UCUUGGUCAUUUAGAGGAAGUAAAAGUCGUAACAAGGUUUCCGUAGGUGAACCUGCGGAAGGAUCAUUACAGAAAGUAAACGCGGGUCAAACCGUGAACUUUUAAACCUUUGACGAUUGACUCAUGUUGCCUCGGCGGGCUCGCCCGCCAGAGGAUACAUCAAAACUCCUGUUUUAACGGCGUUGUCUGAGCUACAAGCAACGAAUCAAAACUUUCAACAACGGAUCUCUUGGUUCUGGCAUCGAUGAAGAACGCAGCGAAAUGCGAUAAGUAGUGUGAAUUGCAGAAUUCAGUGAAUCAUCGAAUCUUUGAACGCACAUUGCGCCCCUUGGUAUCCCGAGGGGCAUGCCUGUUCGAGCGUCAUUACACCACUCAAGCCUGGCUUGGUGUUGGGCGACGUCCCCUUUUGGGGACGCGCCUUGAAAUGCUCGGCGGCGUGGCACCGGCUUUAAGCGUAGCAGAAUCUUUCGCUUCGAAAGUCGGGGCCCCGCCUGCCGGAAGACCUACUCACAAGGUUGACCUCGGAUCAGGCAGGGAUACCCGCUGAACUUAAGCAUAUC
Molecule: unclassified non-coding RNA, 560 nt
Filed under: Cenococcum geophilum
Lineage: Eukaryota; Fungi; Ascomycota; Dothideomycetes; Gloniales; Gloniaceae
Description: partial contains ITS1, 5.8S rRNA and ITS2
Rfam family: 5.8S ribosomal RNA (bases 210-363)
Source: RNAcentral